UACGGAGGAUUCAAGCGUUAUCCGGAAUCAUUGGGUUUAAAGGGUCCGUAGGCGGUUUUAUAAGUCAGUGGUGAAAUCCGGUAGCUCAACUAUCGAACGGCCAUUGAUACUGUAGAACUUGAAUUAUUGUGAAGUAACUAGAAUAUGUAGUGUAGCGGUGAAAUGCUUAGAUAUUACAUGGAAUACCAAUUGCGAAGGCAGGUUACUAACAAUAUAUUGACGCUGAUGGACGAAAGCGUGGGGAGCGAACAGG
RNAcentral lists this ribosomal RNA (253 nucleotides) under uncultured bacterium. RNAcentral's name for it is "partial 16S ribosomal RNA". It matches the Rfam family "Bacterial small subunit ribosomal RNA", at positions 524 to 776 of the family's 1533-position model. The record is from RNAcentral.